This 1413-nucleotide ribosomal RNA is filed under the name Triticum aestivum (bread wheat). Its description in RNAcentral is "partial small subunit ribosomal RNA". Lineage: Eukaryota; Viridiplantae; Streptophyta; Magnoliopsida; Poales; Poaceae. The record is from RNAcentral.
AUGUCUCUGAAAAAAAAAGGUUUACAUCUUCGCCCCCUCUCGUAUUUCAUCCUGGCUCCGCCCCUGACGAGGAUGGCAAGUUUAGCUAACAUGCACAGCAUUUUUCUGGCAAAAAAUCCACUGAGCACGGAUUUGCCACCGUCUAGAAGGAAGCAGAACAAUAAGAAACUUCUGCAUGGAGGGAGCGGUGGGUUAGAUAUAUAUGCCCAACCCUCAUGGUUUCCUUCUUCUUCUGAUGCUGCUGCUGCUGCUGGUGGUGGUGGUGAUCACCCAAAAGCUCAAGCUCAUGGGGAAACACAGGCAAUGCACUUAUACUUCAACGGAUACGAAACUAGGGUCCACAAACUAGUCAUUUGUGCUUAUUAUCUAAUGAAAAAGCUGAUACACGGUUUUGAGGAUGCCCCCAGAAAGCUGAUUGAUCAUCUCUCAGAGUCAUAUGAUAAUCAGGCAGCUAAAUCAUUCUUCUUGGCUGGCUGGUACAGUGAAGACUGCUCUCUAUGGAAAAGUAGAAGAUCCUUGCAGAGGGCAAUCGUGGAGGAGUUAAAUCUUGGCCAUUUACUGCCCAUGUUUGAUAAGGAGGAUGAGGAUGAUGAUUUUAGAGGGAUAAAGAUCGGCUCUAGACUAGAGAUACCACGCAUCGGAAGUGAGAUCAACGCGUCUCUAAGAAAUGAAAGAUUUCUGAUGAUUUUUCAUUAUGGGGGAGAAGAAGUCAUUGAUCUAGCAGAGUAUGGCAUUCCUAAUCCUGAAUUUGGGACAUAUGCUUUAGGGCAACUGCUAUGGAGUGCCGCCGGAGGCGCGGCAUUCCUAGCCGCCGGAGAAGAGAGGGGAGUCGAGGCCAUCCGUCCCGGACUCCCUCCCCUAGGCCUGGACACCAGCAGUGGCUCCGUCGCCGCAAGAGGAGAAGAAGGGGCCGAGGCCACCUGUCCCGGGCCCCCUCCCCGCGGUACCGCCGUCGCCGCGAUAGGAGAAGAGGAAGCCGAGGCCACCUGCCCCAUACUCCCUCCACUCAGCACCGCCGUCGCCGCGAGAGGAGGAGAGGAAGCCGAGGCCACCUGCCCUAGGCUCCCUCCACUUGGCACUGCUGUCGCCGCGAGAGGAGAGGUGCGGCAUCGUCGCCGCAAGAGGAGAAGUGGGAGCCGAGGCCACCUGCCCCGGGCCCCACCCCCUAGGUACCCCGGCACCGCAAGGGGAGAGAAGGAAACCGAGGCCGCCUGCCCCAAGCUCCCUCCCCUCAGCACCGACAUUGCCGCUCGAGGAGAAGAAGGGGCCGAAGCCACCUGGCCCGAGCCCCCUCCUCUAGGCGCAGCCGUCAACACUAGCUCCGUCGGCGUCCGGGGAGAGGAAAGAACCGAAGCCAUCUACCUUGGACUCCCUCCCCCAGUCACCGUUGCCAUCAUCGACUCCGUCACCUGA